This 433-nucleotide ribosomal RNA is filed under the name uncultured bacterium. Its description in RNAcentral is "partial 16S ribosomal RNA". It matches the Rfam family "Bacterial small subunit ribosomal RNA", at positions 28 to 507 of the family's 1533-position model. The record is from RNAcentral.
AACGAACGCUGGCGGCAUGCCUAACACAUGCAAGUCGAACGAGACCUUCGGGUCUACUGGCGCACGGGUGCGUAACGCGUGGGAACCUGCCCUUAGGCUCCGAAUAACUCCCCGUCAGGGGGGCUAAUACCGGGUAAUGUCCUCGGAUCACAGAUUUAUCGCCCUUGGAUGGGCCCGCGUGGGAUUAGCCAGUCGGUAGGGUAAAAGCCUACCAAGGCGACGCUCCAUAGCUGGGCUGAGAGGAUGGUCAGCCACACUGGGACUGGGACCCGGCGCGGACUCCUGCGGGAGGGAGGCGUGGGGGAUAUUGGAAUAUGGGGGGAGGGAUGAUGCAGCAAGGGCGGGUGAGUGAUGAAGUUCGGAGGGAAGUGCAGCUGGUUUACACGGGAUGGUACUGACGGUACCGGGAGAAUAAGCACCGGCUAACUCCGUG